GAUGAACGCUGGCGGCGUGCCUAAUACAUGCAAGUCGAGCGAACAGACGAGGAGCUUGCUCCUCUGACGUUAGCGGCGGACGGGUGAGUAACACGUGGAUAACCUACCUAUAAGACUGGGAUAACUUCGGGAAACCGGAGCUAAUACCGGAUAAUAUAUUGAACCGCAUGGUUCAAUAGUGAAAGACGGUUUUGCUGUCACUUAUAGAUGGAUCCGCGCCGCAUUAGCUAGUUGGGAAGGUAACGGCUUACCAAGGCAACGAUGCGUAGCCGACCUGAGAGGGGGAUCGGCCACACUGGAACUGAGACACGGUCCAGACUCCUACGGGAGGCAGCAGUAGGGAAUCUGCCGCAAUGGGCGAAAGCCUGACGGAGCAACGCCGCGUGAGAGAUGAAGGUCUUCGGAUCGUAAAACUCUGUUAUUAGGGAAGAACAAAUGUGUAAGUAACUAUGCACGUCUUGACGGUACCUAAUCAGAAAGCCACGGCUAACUACGUG
This 497-nucleotide ribosomal RNA is filed under the name uncultured bacterium. RNAcentral's name for it is "partial 16S ribosomal RNA". It matches the Rfam family "Bacterial small subunit ribosomal RNA", at positions 28 to 507 of the family's 1533-position model. The record is from RNAcentral.